GACGAACGCUGGCGGCGUGCUUAACACAUGCAAGUCGAACGGUGACGCUCCAGCUUGCUGCCGUGGCUCAGUGGCGACCGGGUGAGUAACACGUAAGCAACCUGCCCCUGACUCUGGCAUAAGCGCUGGCAACGGCGUCUAAUACUGGAUACGAGAAGGGUCCGCAUGGGCACUUUCUGGAAAGUUAUUCGGUUGGGGAUGGGCUCGCGGCCUAUCAGCUUGUUGGUGAGGUAAUGGCUCACCAAGGCGACGACGGGUAGCCGGCCUGAGAGGGCGACCGGCCACACUGGGACUGAGACACGGCCCAGACUCCUACGGGAGGCAGCAGUGGGGAAGAUUGCACAAUGGGCGAAAGCCUGAUGCAGCGACGCCGCGUGAGGGAUGACGGCCUUCGGGUUGUAAACCUCUUUCAGCAGGGAAGAAGCGAAAGUGACGGUACCUGAAGAAGAAGCACCGGCUAACUACGUG
RNAcentral lists this ribosomal RNA (468 nucleotides) under uncultured bacterium. RNAcentral describes it as "partial 16S ribosomal RNA". It matches the Rfam family "Bacterial small subunit ribosomal RNA", at positions 28 to 507 of the family's 1533-position model. The record is from RNAcentral.